CGCGAGCUCGGAGAGGACCCCGAGCGCUCGCGGCGAUCGGCCGGGCGGGGAGACUCACCGUGCAGCAGGAGGGCCGGGAACAGGUGCUGCGGGGCUGGACUCCUUGAGUGCGGAACGUGAGCUCAUUACAAAGCCUGUGAGCGGCUAGGGCGCCUCCGGCAGGAGCAGGGACUGUGGCUGGCUCCUGUUUGUGAAGGGCAUGUUUACCAGGCUCCUGAGAUGACCAUCUGGUCACCUCCUCCUAGCACACAAGAUAAAAGAGCGGACAUGAGACCGGAUGGAGGGGAGAACAUUUCUUGACUCAACUCCGCUGGAACUGAACUGAGAAGAGCACGGCUAAGGAAGUGAAAGGGAAGUCGUUGAAUCCAGAUCCGGACCUCUGGGACAAGCCCACGGAAUCUCCAGACCAGUGAACGAGAGCAGGCAGGCCAGGUCCUGGCAGUGAUAGGAGAGGCCCUAACAUGGGCAGUAGCGUCACAUCAGCAAGUGUGCUGGAAUAUUCCAAACACCUCACCGGCUACUUUGGUGUAUUGAUGGAGAAUUUGGCACACCAAGAAAGGACCUACAUGACCACACAUUUGGUGAAUGGCGGUGCGCACUCUGAACUCCCAGGGCUUGUGCAGUGGCCAGCACAUUCAUCAAGCAGUCCCUUCCCACUGACACUCAUCUGCUGGGAACCCUAAGCAGCUAGUGCCCUAGGCUGGGCAGUACAGGCCACGGCACCCCCCGGAGCAGCUUGGCUUGAGGUCCACAGGAAGCGUCAUAAGUCUUAGGGAUCCGUGAAGUGGUAGAAAGCCCAGUUUCAAGGGCACAAGGACUGAAACCCACUGCAGUCUGUACUAUCACUUGGCUUUCUACUAGAAUCCGCAUAAAAACUGAACCAAUGCAGAGUUACCGUGUGAGCCACUGGGAAUUUCAGGAAUUGGGGGCUUCUCUGGUCUUGAAGAAAAUGAUACAUUUAAAGAAGGGCUGGCACCAAUUGCCCUCUAAAUACUUAUGUUGAGACUCAUAUAUUAAAGCUGCUCUCACUUUUGGUUAGAGAGGAUUCUCUUUUCAGAUGGUAGUGACCACUGAGGAGAUUCAAAACUCAUCCCUCUGCCGGGAAGAAGUGACAGUGAGUGUUCAGCAUUAAACGACAUCUCUAUUCCACCCUCCAAGGCUUAGGGACUAUAGUAGAAGAGGUGACUGAAGGAAAGUGCCAAAGGAUGGGUAGGAGUGCUUUGGAACACUGUCUUCCAAAUACAAAGGGCUGUGGCAUUCAGGACCUCACAAUAGCUGUCAUUACCUGUUUAAGACCUGCAUAAUAUUGGGCUCAUUAACAUGUUAUGGGUGAUGGAGGGUGGGGGGGCAUCAAAAUAGAAGAAGAAGGGGCUUAAGAGAUGGCUCAGCAGUGAGAGGUGCUUGCUUAUAAAGUCUGACAGAUUCCCCAGUACCCACAUAAAGCCAGAUGCACAAGGUGGUGCAUACACCUGGAGUUUGUUUGCAAUGGCAGAAGUCCCUGGUGCACCUAUAUAGUCUUAUUCUCUCUUCUGCUCCCUAAUUCUCUCUGUCUCUCUCAAAUAUAUAUAUAUAGGUUUUUUGAGGUAGUCUCACUCUAGCUCAGGCUGACCUGGAACUCACUA
This is a long non-coding RNA of Jaculus jaculus (lesser Egyptian jerboa), 1622 nucleotides long. RefSeq lists it as uncharacterized. Lineage: Eukaryota; Metazoa; Chordata; Mammalia; Rodentia; Dipodidae. The record is from RefSeq and is a predicted model, not a curated record. The transcript is spliced from 4 exons.